Molecule: ribosomal RNA, 625 nt
Filed under: Colletotrichum acutatum
Lineage: Eukaryota; Fungi; Ascomycota; Sordariomycetes; Glomerellales; Glomerellaceae
Also listed under: 1 other name
Description: eukaryotic LSU rRNA
Rfam family: Eukaryotic large subunit ribosomal RNA
Source: RNAcentral
GUUGACCUCGGAUCAGGUAGGAAUACCCGCUGAACUUAAGCAUAUCAAUAAGCGGAGGAAAAGAAACCAACAGGGAUUGCCCCAGUAACGGCGAGUGAAGCGGCAACAGCUCAAAUUUGAAAUCUGGCCCCAGGCCCGAGUUGUAAUUUGCAGAGGAUGCUUUUGGCGCGGUGCCUUCCGAGUUCCCUGGAACGGGACGCCAUAGAGGGUGAGAGCCCCGUACGGUUGGACACCAAGCCUUUGUAAAGCUCCUUCGACGAGUCGAGUAGUUUGGGAAUGCUGCUCUAAAUGGGAGGUACAUUUCUUCUAAAGCUAAAUAUUGGCCAGAGACCGAUAGCGCACAAGUAGAGUGAUCGAAAGAUGAAAAGCACUUUGAAAAGAGGGUUAAACAGCACGUGAAAUUGUUAAAAGGGAAGCGCUUGUGACCAGACUUGCGUCCGGUGAAUCACCCAGCUCUCGCGGCUGGGGCACUUCGCCGGCACAGGCCAGCAUCAGCUUGCCGUCGGGGACAAAAGCUUCAGGAACGUAGCUCCUCUCGGGGAGUGUUAUAGCCUGUUGUAUAAUACCCUUCGGCGGGCUGAGGUACGCGCUCCGCAAGGAUGCUGGCGUAAUGGUCAUCAGCGAC